UGAGUACGAGAUGCUACGGCAUCGAAGCAGUCUAUGUCAUACUUCCAAGAAAAGCUUGCACUGUCAUAAACAAAGAAUGCCUGUACCAUAACCGACACAGGUGGGUAGGUAGAGUAUACUAAGGGGCGCGAGAUAACUCUCUCUAAGGAACUCGGCAAAAUGACUCCGUAACUUCGGGAGAAGGAGUGCCUUAUUUCUAAGGUUGCAAUAACAAGAUCCAAGCAACUGUUUACCAAAAACACAGGUCUCCGCUAAGUCGUAAGACGAUGUAUGGGGGCUGACGCCUGCCCAGUGCCAGAAGGUUAAAGAAGUUGGUUAGCAUUAGCGAAGCUGAUAACUGAAGCCCUGGUGAACGGCGGCCGUAACAAUAACGGUCCUAAGGUAGCGAAAUUCCUUGUCGGGUAAGUUCCGACCCGCACGAAAGGCGUAAUGAUUUGGAUACUGUCUCGGAGAGGGGCUCGGUGAAAUAGACUUGUCUGUGAAGAUGCGGACUACCUGCACCUGGACAGAAAGACCCUAUGAAGCUUUACUGUAACUUGAGAUUGAAAUUGGACUUUAUUUGCGCAGUAUAGGUGGGAGGCGUUGAGAAUAAUCUUGCGGGAUUGUUGGAGCCAUCAGUGAGAUACCACUCUUGUAAUGUUAGAUUUCUAACUCUGUAUCAUUAUCUGGUCAAAGAACAGUUUCAGGCGGGCAGUUUGACUGGGGCGGUCGCCUCCCAAAGGGUAACGGAGGCGCACAAAGGUUUCCUCUGAACGGGUAGAAAUCGUAUCUAGAGUGUAAAGGCAUAAGGAAGCUUGACUGUGAGACCUACAAGUCGAGCAGGGACGAAAGUCGGUCUUAGUGAUCUGACGGUGCUGAGUGGAAAGGCCGUCACUCAACGGAUAAAAGUUACUCUAAGGAUAACAGGCUGAUCUCCCCCAAGAGUUCACAUCGACGGGGAGGUUUGGCACCUCGAUGUCGGCUCAUCGCAUCCUGGGGCGGUAGUCCGUCCCAAGGGUUGGGCUGUUCGCCCAUGAAAGCGGUACGCGAGCUGGGUUCAGAACGUCGUGAGACAGUUCGGUCCAUAUCCGGUGUAGGCGUUAGAAUAUUGAGAGGAGCCUUCUCUAGUACGAGAGGACCGAGAAGGACAUACCUCUGGUGUACCAGUUAUCGUGCCAACGGUAAACGCUGGGUAGCUAUGUAUGGAGUGGAUAACCGCUGAAAGCAUCUAAGUGGGAAGCCCACCUCAAGAUAAG
RNAcentral lists this ribosomal RNA (1235 nucleotides) under metagenome. RNAcentral describes it as "bacterial LSU rRNA". It matches the Rfam family "Bacterial large subunit ribosomal RNA", at positions 1564 to 2808 of the family's 2925-position model. The record is from RNAcentral.